ACGGGUGAGUAACACGUAGGUAACCUGCCCGUAAGACUGGGAUAACAUUCGGAAACGAAUGCUAAUACCGGAUACACAACUUGGUCGCAUGAUCGGAGUUGGGAAAGACGGAGUAAUCUGUCACUUACGGAUGGACCUGCGGCGCAUUAGCUAGUUGGUGAGGUAACGGCUCACCAAGGCGACGAUGCGUAGCCGACCUGAGAGGGUGAUCGGCCACACUGGGUCUGAGACACGGCCCAGACUCCUACGGGAGGCAGCAGUAGGGAAUCUUCCGCAAUGGACGAAAGUCUGACGGAGCAACGCCGCGUGAGUGAUGAAGGUUUUCGGAUCGUAAAGCUCUGUUGCCAGGGAAGAACGCUAAGGAGAGUAACUGCUCUUUAGGUGACGGUACCUGAGAAGAAAGCCCCGGCUAACUACGUGCCAGCAGCCGCGGUAAUACGUAGGGGGCAAGCGUUGUCCGGAAUUAUUGGGCGUAAAGCGCGCGCAGGCGGCCUUGUAAGUCUGUUGUUUCAGGCACAAGCUCAACUUGUGUUCGCAAUGGAAACUGCAAAGCUUGAGUGCAGAAGAGGAAAGUGGAA
Molecule: ribosomal RNA, 578 nt
Filed under: uncultured bacterium
Lineage: Bacteria
Description: bacterial SSU rRNA
Rfam family: Bacterial small subunit ribosomal RNA
Source: RNAcentral